AGUAACGGCGAGUGAAGCGGCAACAGCUCAAAUUUGAAAUCUGGUCCCCUCUGGGGGCCCGAGUUGUAAUUUGAAGAGGAUGCUUUUGGCGAGGCGCCGUCCGAGUUCCCUGGAACGGGACGCCGCAGAGGGUGAGAGCCCCGUACGGUCGGACGCCGAGCCUCUGUAAAGCUCCUUCGACGAGUCGAGUAGUUUGGGAAUGCUGCUCAAAAUGGGAGGUAAACCCCUUCUAAAGCUAAAUACCGGCCAGAGACCGAUAGCGCACAAGUAGAGUGAUCGAAAGAUGAAAAGCACUUUGAAAAGAGAGUUAAAAAGCACGUGAAAUUGUUAAAAGGGAAGCGCUUGCGACCAGACUUGCGCCCGUCGGAUCAACCGUCGCUUGCGGCGGCGCACUCCGGCGGGCUCAGGCCAGCAUCAGUUCGCCUGGGGGGAGAAAGGCGGCGGGAAUGUGGCUCUUCGGAGUGUUAUAGCCCGCCGUGUAAUACCCUCGGGUGGACUGAGGACCGCGCGUAUGCAAGGAUGCUGGCGUAAUGGUCGUCAGCGACCCGUCUUGAAACACGGACCAAGGAGUCGUCCUAAUAUGCGAGUGUACGGGUGUCAAACCCCUGCGCGUAAUGAAAGUGAACGGAGGUGAGAGCUUCGGCGCAUCAUCGACCGAUCCUGAUGUUCUCGGAUGGAUUUGAGUAAGAGCAUAUUGGGCCGGACCCGAAAGAAGGUGAACUAUGCCUGUGUAGGGUGAAGCCAGAGGAAACUCUGGUGGAGGCUCGCAGCGGUUCUGACGUGCAAAUCGAUCGUCAAACAUGGGCAUGGGGGCGAAAGACUAAUCGA
RNAcentral lists this ribosomal RNA (828 nucleotides) under Pseudoscopulariopsis asperispora. RNAcentral describes it as "partial large subunit ribosomal RNA". It matches the Rfam family "Eukaryotic large subunit ribosomal RNA", at positions 82 to 938 of the family's 3401-position model. Lineage: Eukaryota; Fungi; Ascomycota; Sordariomycetes; Microascales; Microascaceae. The record is from RNAcentral.